RNAcentral lists this ribosomal RNA (448 nucleotides) under uncultured bacterium. Its description in RNAcentral is "bacterial SSU rRNA". It matches the Rfam family "Bacterial small subunit ribosomal RNA", at positions 355 to 796 of the family's 1533-position model. The record is from RNAcentral.
UGGGGAAUCUUGGUCAAUGGGCGCAAGCCUGAACCAGCGACGCCGCGUGAGUGAUGAAGGCCUUCGGGUUGUAAAGCUCUGUGGGGAGAGACGAAAGAGCAUGUUCUAACAGGACGUGUGUUGACGGUAUCUCCUUAGCAAGCACCGGCUAACUCUGUGCCAGCAGCCGCGGUAAGACAGAGGGUGCAAACGUUGCUCGGAAUCACUGGGCGUAAAGGGCGUGUAGGCGGGAAGGAAAGUCAGAUGUGAAAUCCCUGGGCUCAACCCAGGAACUGCAUUUGAAACUCCCUUUCUUGAGUGUCGGAGAGGAAAGCGGAAUUCCUGGUGUAGAGGUGAAAUUCGUAGAUAUCAGGAGGAACACCGGUGGCGAAGGCGGCUUUCUGGACGAUAACUGACGCUGAGACGCGAAAGCGUGGGGAGCAAACAGGAUUAGAUACCCGCGUAGUCC